This is a non-coding RNA of Misgurnus anguillicaudatus (oriental weatherfish), 2431 nucleotides long. The record is from RefSeq and is a predicted model, not a curated record. NCBI's taxonomy places the organism in Eukaryota, Metazoa, Chordata, Actinopteri, Cypriniformes, Cobitidae.
CUGUGCUGAUCACGUGCCUGUACACAAACCCGCCGCAGCUCACUUGCAAAAGAUUAUCCUGUUAUUUAUUACACGUAUAGUAAACGUUUUUAAUGUUAUCAUGAAUCAAUGUUAUAGUUUUGUAUGUCACAUUAUUUUUUGAGAAGAGUCAUGACUCAACGCGGACCUUACACGCUGUUAAUUUGUGUGUGCAUAUGGCGGUACAGGCUCUUUUGCACUCUAUGACCAGCCAUCAUUAAAUCGAAAUACAGUAAAAAAAAAAAAUGAGCGCGAAACCCUGACACUUUACAGAAAGGCACGGAUAUCCCCGCCCGAAGAAAAAAAGAGCACAGGACAAUGGUUGCAAGUUAAACAGCUGAACAUUUCACCAUCGACAUAUCAACAUAAACGGUCCUCUUUUUCGAGUUUGACUGCGUUUGGUACAGGUCACAACAACAACGGCAGAUGUAGAGACCACACUUUCCCUUGCUUCCACUCCACGGCUGAUCAUGCUUGGUCACAACAACAACGGCAGAUGUAGAGACCACGCUUUCCCUUGCUUCCAUUCCACGGCUGAUCAUGCUUGGUCACAACAACAACGGCAGAUGUAGAGACCACGCUUUCCCUUGCUUCCAUUCCACGGCUGAUCAUGCUUGAGGAUCCAGAUCUACAAAACAAAAAAUGGAUGCUGCCGAUUGAAGGCUAAGUCCGCUUUCCUGCGAUUGACCUACCAUUUCUUCAGCAUUUGCUGUUCACUUUGGUUGCUACUACGUGCUCAACAUCGAGUACCAAGUGGAAGCAGCCACUACUUUGGAGUUUAUUCAGAGAUUUAUUGUGAGGAUCAGCCCCAGCAAGUGCUCCUCUAACUUCCAGGUGAGCAAAAGAAGUGGGAAGAUGGUGCAAAGGAGGAACUCUGGCCUGAACCAUCAUGUAUAUAUCCACCUUUAUUAAGGACUUUAUGAAUUAAGCAAAACUAUUAAGCAACUAAAGCAAAUACAUUCUACUCAACUCACCAGAGGUUUGUGAAAUUCUUUUUUAUCUUAAAGGUUUCUUUUAGUUAAUUUGUCCAUGCACUGAUUUAUAAUAUUGUAAUAUGAAACUCCAGUGUAUACAUGUUACUACUGUUGCUUCUAAAAGCAAAAUAAGUCUAUGCAGGAGAGGUUUUGUUACGUUUUUUUUUUUUAAUUAUUCUUAUAGACGGUUUCAUCGGACGCACAUGACACACGUCUGGAUCCGAACCUUACUUCCGGUUUCGCUUUUUUAAUGGUCUGACUAGUUGCUAAACUGAUUUCUUGAACAAAAGCCUCGUCGAAAAUAACAAAUGUUUUGGUUUCCGAGCUAAUCUAUGUGUUGUUUUUUUGCUUGUUAUAUAAAUAAAAUGCGUUUAAAGAACUUUGUUGUUUUUUAUUCUUAGCGGAGUUUAUCGGAAGUUCAUGCGGACCGCGACAGCCGCUUGUUUAUGUUGUUACUGAUGAAACCGUCUAUAGUUAUAACUGAAUUUGUACUAGUAUUAUUUGAUAAUACUGUGAAAUGAAACAAUGAGUAAAUGUAACAUUGGCUUUGAAAAAGCUGUUGCUGCAAGAAAUUACAAUUUACUCAGAAUAAUAUUUUGAAUGUAUACGUUUUUGACAUUGCUUAUGACUACAUUUGAAUGUAUUGUUCAUGAAUUGAUGCUGUGAUAUGUGUGUGUAAAUGUUUUGUGUGUUACAGGAGAAAAGAUUUUAUUUUACUCAGGAAAGUAUUUUGUAUUUGAACAUUGUUAUUAUGACUGAGUUAGUUCAUGACUUGAUUUAAAAUUCUGUAAUAUGAUAUCUAUGAGUAAAUGUUAUUGCAGGUUUAAGAAAAACAGUUUGUGAUGCAAGCUGAAAGUUCAGUGUGCAAAAAUAUGAAAAUCUGAUUUCAUGUUUUUGAAAAACUAAAUUAAAUUUUAAAAGCAUGUUGUCAUUGCUUAUUUUUGUGAUUUACUUAGAGCUGUUUUAACACCUCCAUUUAAAUUCUGUGCAGUUUUGUAGUAAAUAGAAAUGGGAAAAUGAAUCACAGGAAAUUUUACGGUAAAAUACACAUUGUAAUAUAUACAUUGUAGUAUAAAAUUAUUGUAUAUUUUACAGUAGAAAAUAUAAAAUACUGUAAAUACAGUUACAGCAUGUUAAACAAUACUGUAAAAUGUAUACAGUAUUUUAAAUAGUACUGUAAAUUUGUAUACAGUAUUUUAAAUAGUACUGUAAAACUGUAUACAGUAUUUUAAAUAGUACUGUAAAACUGUAUACAGUAUUUUAAAUAGUACUGUAAAACGGUAUACGGUAUUUUAAAUAGUACUGUAAAAAUGCAUACAGUACUUUAAAUAGUACUGUAAAAUUGUAUACAGUAUUUUUACUGUAUGUUAAUUUACAGUAAGUUGCUGGCAACCAGCUGCCAGUAAGUUACUGUAAAUUCUACAGGAAAUUUUUUACAG